AUGGCUGACAUGCGCGGCAUGGCCGAAACCGACGAGAGAAGAGAGAGAUGGAGAGAAAAGAGAGGACGGGAAGGAGACGAGACGCCAGAGGAGAGAGAAGGGGGUGGUGGUCACUUCAACGGGCUGCAGCGCGGCGCCGCCCCGGCCGCUGAGCCUGCCCGACCGCCCCGUCGCCAAGUCGCCACCCCACUGACUGCCCUGGGCUCGCCCUUUAAACCAAUUCAGAGCCAGCGAUUGUUGCCCACAUCGCCGAACCUGGCUCCCCUUCUCCACCCCAGCAAGCACGCGCGCUUGAAGGCGCCCAGGAGCUCGCCGGCAACACUCAGCAGACGCAGGAGAGCUGCGUGCCUGGUGCGUGUGAAUGUGUGGACGCGAGGCAUUGGAGGCCUCAGCAAGUUAACAAAUUAUAUUGCCCUGUACUACUUUUUAACAAAUUGGCUCCUACAAAGACUAAUGGAAGGAUCAUCAGACCAACGUAGUCAAAUUGUCUGCUUCAAAUUUUCGGUUUUGGAGCUGAUCAGUAGCACGCUGACAUGCAUCAGGAAGCCGACGGACAGCCAUAGUAGGAAGGCGUGGAUCUUGAGCUGCAGCGACAACGACAACUUGGGCGUUACCUGCAAAAAUACAACAGUUCAAGGGUUUAACCAAGUGUAA
This 654-nucleotide ribosomal RNA is filed under the name Triticum aestivum (bread wheat). Its description in RNAcentral is "partial small subunit ribosomal RNA". The record is from RNAcentral. Lineage: Eukaryota; Viridiplantae; Streptophyta; Magnoliopsida; Poales; Poaceae.